This 542-nucleotide long non-coding RNA is filed under the name Gossypium raimondii (Peruvian cotton). RNAcentral's name for it is "long non-coding RNA (GRAI_LNC002279)". Lineage: Eukaryota; Viridiplantae; Streptophyta; Magnoliopsida; Malvales; Malvaceae. The record is from RNAcentral.
UUGCCUGUGACUCUCUUUCCACUGGUGCUAAAAAAUACUUUGCGUUGUUGAUAAUCACGGUAAGAUCCAUAAAAGAAACGGAUUGUUUUCCUAGCAGCCAGCUGAAGCUGAUAUAAACACAUGAACAUUAUGCUAUCAGUAUCCAUCACCAACAUUCCUAUUUUGUUUUAUUUUUAUUCUUUUUAGUUUUAUUAGAACUAAUUUUAUUGUUUUCCCUCUCAUAACAAUAGAUCUAAUUUUAUCACUAUUUCUAAUAGCUGUUAAUAUAACUCUAGGAUGGGGUUAUAACUGACCUCCAAGAAACCAAAGAUGCCCUCGUAAAAGCAUCAGAUCUCCCAUUGUCGAUCCUCAUUGUUGGAGUUGGAGGAGCUGACUUCAAAGAAAUGGAGGUACUUACUACAUGUACCAUCUCAUAUCCAUUUGAAGGAUAACGAUCUCUUCACAGAUCACCCUUUUGUUGUCAGUACUCGAUAUUUUAUGUUGUUGAAGGGACCCGUGCGAAGAUUCAUUUGGUUUAUCAACUAAAUUGCUUUUACAGAUUU